This is a long non-coding RNA of Balaenoptera acutorostrata (minke whale), 296 nucleotides long. RefSeq lists it as uncharacterized. NCBI's taxonomy places the organism in Eukaryota, Metazoa, Chordata, Mammalia, Artiodactyla, Balaenopteridae. The record is from RefSeq and is a predicted model, not a curated record. The transcript has 4 exons.
GGGACAUCCAAAGAACUUUCCCAAGUUCUCAGGGAGAAAAACACGCAAUAUGUGUCUCAUGUGUGGGUGAGGUCUGUCUAGAGAAGAUACAGCCAUCCUUUCCUUACAUGGAAUGCCACGUGUCUGGGGACCAAGGAGGAGAGAGCUGGCAUUCUUUGCUUCCAGCGUGCCAGUCUGCCUGCUGGUGCAGAAGACACCUAAGUGCUGGGAGAAGUAAAGCAGCAUAAAUCAACAGGAUAUCCAAGUUCACCAGGAAGUUGCUUGUGUUCAGAGCCCAAAGCACCUGGGAGCGAGAG